RNAcentral lists this ribosomal RNA (443 nucleotides) under uncultured Gammaproteobacteria bacterium. RNAcentral describes it as "bacterial SSU rRNA". It matches the Rfam family "Bacterial small subunit ribosomal RNA", at positions 18 to 465 of the family's 1533-position model. Lineage: Bacteria; Pseudomonadati; Pseudomonadota; Gammaproteobacteria. The record is from RNAcentral.
CCUGGCUCAGAUUGAACGCUGGCGGCAUAAAAAAACACAUGCAAGUCGAACGGUAACAGGCCUUCGGGCGCUGACGAGUGGCGGACGGGUGAGUAAUACGUAGGAAUCUGCCCAGUAGUGGGGGACAACCUGGGGAAACUCAGGCUAAUACCGCAUACGCCCUACGGGGGAAAGCAGGGGAUCUUCGGACCUUGCGCUAUUGGAUGAGCCUACGUCGGAUUAGCUUGUUGGUAGGGUAACGGCCUACCAAGGCGACGAUCCGUAGCUGGUCUGAGAGGACGAUCAGCCACACUGGGACUGAGACACGGCCCAGACUCCUACGGGAGGCAGCAGUGGGGAAUAUUGGACAAUGGGGGCAACCCUGAUCCAGCAAUGCCGCGUGUGUGAAGAAGGCCUGCGGGUUUAAAGCACUUUCGGUAGGGACGAAAAGCUGAGGGCUAAUA